ACGUUCUCACUAGUGAUUUCUGGUUGAUCCCGGCGGAGGCUACUGCUAUUGGGAUUCGAUUAAGCCAUGCAAGUUGAAUGAAUUUAGAUUCAUGGCGUACGGCUCAGUAACACGUGGAUAACUUACCCUUAGGACUGGGAUAACUCUGGGAAACUGGGGAUAAUACCGGAUAUUAGGCUAUGUCUGCAAUGGUUUGCCUUUGAAAUGUUUUUUUUCGCCUAAGGAUAGAUCUGCGGCUGAUUAGGUCGUUGGUGGGGUAAUGGCCCACCAAGCCGAUGAUCGGUACGGGUUGUGAGAGCAAGGGCCCGGAGAUGGAACCUGAGACAAGGUUCCAGACCCUACGGGGUGCAGCAGGCGCGAAACCUCCGCAAUGUACGAAAGUGCGACGGGGGGAUCCCAAGUGUUAUGCUUAAGGAUGACUUCUAGAAGUAAUC
RNAcentral lists this ribosomal RNA (434 nucleotides) under uncultured rumen archaeon. RNAcentral's name for it is "bacterial SSU rRNA". It matches the Rfam family "Archaeal small subunit ribosomal RNA", at positions 1 to 421 of the family's 1478-position model. The record is from RNAcentral.